UCCUAGAUGACUGAGUUAAAGUGCUAGACUUUUAAUCUAGAAACAGCAUGUGUAAAAAUGCUUCUAGGAG
This 70-nucleotide transfer RNA is filed under the name Conus tribblei. RNAcentral describes it as "tRNA-Lys". It matches the Rfam family "tRNA". From Rfam's summary of the family: Transfer RNA (tRNA) molecules are approximately 80 nucleotides in length. Their secondary structure includes four short double-helical elements and three loops (D, anti-codon, and T loops). The record is from RNAcentral. Lineage: Eukaryota; Metazoa; Mollusca; Gastropoda; Neogastropoda; Conidae.